UAGGGAAUCUUCGGCAAUGGACGAAAGUCUGACCGAGUAACGCCGCGUGAGUGAAGAAGGUUUUCGGAUCGUAAAACUCUGUUGUUAGAGAAGAACAAGGACGUUAGUAACUGAACGUCCCCUGACGGUAUCUAACCAGAAAGCCACGGCUAACUACGUGCCAGCAGCCGCGGUAAUACGUAGGUGGCAAGCGUUGUCCGGAUUUAUUGGGCGUAAAGCGAGCGCAGGCGGUUUCUUAAGUCUGAUGUGGAAGCCCCCGGCUCAACCGGGGAGGGUCAUUGGAAACUGGGAGACUUGAGUGCAGAAGAGGACAGUGGAAUUCCAUGUGUAGCGGUGAAAUGCGUAGAUAUAUGGGGGAACACCAGUGGCGAAGGCGGCUCUCUGGUCUGUAACUGACGCUGAGGCUCGAAAGCGUGGGGAGCAAACAGG
This 429-nucleotide ribosomal RNA is filed under the name Gemmatimonadota bacterium. RNAcentral's name for it is "Gemmatimonadetes bacterium partial 16S ribosomal RNA". It matches the Rfam family "Bacterial small subunit ribosomal RNA", at positions 355 to 776 of the family's 1533-position model. Lineage: Bacteria; Pseudomonadati; Gemmatimonadota. The record is from RNAcentral.